Molecule: long non-coding RNA, 209 nt
Filed under: Zostera marina
Lineage: Eukaryota; Viridiplantae; Streptophyta; Magnoliopsida; Alismatales; Zosteraceae
Description: long non-coding RNA (ZMAR_LNC000169)
Source: RNAcentral
CCCACGACCCUCCACCUCACUUAUAAAUUAGGAAGCUGAUACAGUAGCUAUCGACUACGACCAGAUUGCAGAUGACGUCCCCGGGAUUCAGGAAUCCGUCGCCGAGGAGAGGGCCGCCCUAAUUUCUGAGAAGGGGAAGAACUUCGAUCGAAGUUCGUUGGAGGUUAAUGAACCGGGUGAGGACCGGGCUAAAUCCAAGCGGUUUAGAC